RNAcentral lists this transfer RNA (64 nucleotides) under Matuta planipes. RNAcentral's name for it is "tRNA-Gly". The record is from RNAcentral. Lineage: Eukaryota; Metazoa; Arthropoda; Malacostraca; Decapoda; Matutidae.
AUUUUUUUAGUAUAAAAAGUAUAUCUGACUUCCAAUCAGAAGGUCUAAACAUUUAGAAAAAAUA